AUUAGAGAUAAUUAUUAGAGACUAAUUGGAAUAAGUGAGUAGAAGCUAUCACACACACCAUGAUUUGUGGUCUACAUGUUAUUAAACAAAUGCUAAGAAAGAAUCAAAGCGGGACCCACACUUUGAUUAUGAACCACAUGACCAAAGCCAUAUCUCUUCAAUUUCAUUUUUCAUUUGCUGAAAGAGCAGCCAGGAAACAAAGACUCCCUCACCCUCUCUCACGCCUCCCACCCUCAUCUCUACCUUUCCAUUUAUUCAACAAUCAAACAUGGAAGAUUCUUGCAUGCAAUCCACUCAUUAGUUUCUUGGGUCAAUUAGAGCAAGGAACAAAGUAUUGAUUAAAACCUCAAAGAUUCAGAGGUUUGAGUAAAAGGGGUCAAAUUGGAAGUUGAGAACUUAGUGGCAAAAAUAAGAAGUUCAUGGAGAUAGAGAAGUUGGGGAAAAGCUUGAAGCUUGGAGUUUCAACACUGAAUUCAUGCAGAAAGUGUUUGGGAUUGGGCUGCACUCAAACGAAUUGUGACCAGUAGGUAUUUUUGAAGUUGGAACUCUGAUGCUGGUAUUAUGCAGAAAAAUCUGCACACGAGUUUGGAGUAGUUUCGUUGCAAAUUUCGCUUUUCGACGAGUUUCGGAAAUGUCGGUGGUACUGUUCGAGCGUCGAUUUCAGGUGGGUUCCCUUAGAAGCUCAACCUUUAUGAUUAGUUAGUACCUUAGUUGCCCAAAAUAUAUUCAUGACAAUAUUAGUUUAGAAAGAAAGUUAAGUUACUUCCCGUAAAUUAUGAUUUGCAUGAUAACAUUAGGAUUUAGGGUGAAUUAGUGUAUGAGAGGAGCUUAAUCCCAAAGUUCUUCUCCAUUUUAAUCAUUUAAUCCAUUAUGGUGUGCACAGCUAUUAGAAAGAGGGAUUGUAGGCGAAUUUAUGCAUAGUUUACACAAAACAGAAUGCUGAAUUGGUAUCCUCUCUAAGUGAGAAUAGCAGAUCAGUAUCCUGCAGAAUCUUUUAAAAUGCAUAUGCUUUCACUCUUUUUAGAUCCCUGGCUCUUUUAGAUAUUUUUUUGUGGAUCCUAUAAGUACAUUAAAUAAUUAGAAUGUUAAUUACACGUUAGGUACAUGAUAACCAGGACAAGUUAGUAUUAACCCGGGAGGGAAUUCAUGGGCAGGAUAAUAAUCAGGAUUAUUAAGUUAAGUUUAAGAAAGUCAAUCAAUUAUGGUGGUUACUUAUGGACCACGUUAUGGGAUUCGUUAGAAUCCAAUCAUGUUAUGAUUGUGAGCUUCAGCCGUGUCGAUGUACAUUAUUAUCGCAGACGGACAUGUCAGGCCUCUGAGACCGGCUCACCUCAGAGUGUCUUUGUUAUGAAUAAAACGAACAAGAUAUAUAAUUUGUGUUACACCUUUAUGUAUUAUGUUAUGAAAUUAUGUUGUGUAAAUCAUGUUUAGAGAUUGACUAUCAGGAUCAGAGAACUAUUAGUUCGUCAGUUGCCCCGGUGUAGACACCAAUAGUAAUUGGGUAGUAGGAAUCCACUGAGACGAAGUGACUGUCUCAUCCCCCACUUAUUUGAUUUCAGAUAAACAGGUUGAUCAAGAUAUCAUGGUCUACAAGCAUGGAGUUCAGAUACUUGGAUUAUGCUAGUUGAGCUGACGUCAUGUUAUCUUAUAUUUGUAUAAGAUUUAGUUUCUUUAUGUUUUCAGUUGUUAGCUCAAUUUAGUAUUAAUCUCUUGGAUUUUGUAAUCCUAUUUAUGUAUUCGGACAAUAUGUAAUGAAAAUUUAAUGUUUCCCGAUUCAAUUAUGUACACUCUUAUCGAUAUUCUAGAUAAAUUGACAUGGGGUGUUAUAAUUGGUAUCAGAGCAGGUCGAUUCAGUAUCAGACCUUGCCGCGGAUCAUUAAAAUUCAAUCCAAAGUAGUACGGACCCUUUGGAGUCUAGACUGUUUACGCUGAAAUCAUCGCGUGCUGAGCCCGAUCAACUCAGUAUCGUGUAUGGUAGGCAGGGUAUUACGGUUGAGAACCGAAGUGGACCAAGGAGGUCAAGUAGUAAGAAAGAAGUAGAAGCGCAUACUCAGAUGGAAGUAUGAACGGAGACCGUUGGAAGUGGAUAUCGGAACUGCAGCAGUCGACGCCACAAGAAUAAGUUGAGUAACGCCAACAAGUGGCAAGCAGAAUUGAGAAUAGUACAUGGCGUAAUACCAGUAGUAAUAGGCAUAUCAAGACAUGCACGAACCGGACGCACUCAACUGACGGUAGCAGGUUUAAAGAUAUGGGGAAUUAUGGAAACCCGGUAUGAAAGUAAGUUUUGACCGGAGUGGAACCGAGACCGAGUAUUGAAGUACAAAAAUAUUGGAAAAUUGUUGUAAGUCUGAUGGGCGCAUAAAUACAUAUGAUGGAAUUAUGAGAACAUUACAUGCCCCGACAAGAUAAGUUCAGCCUUUCAGUUCGUAACUAGUAUCCUAGUCAGACCCGUAUCAGCCAAGUUUUGUUUGAGUAAUGACUGGAAUUAAUUCUAAUACUAUCAGUUACCUAAGUCGGCCUAUUAAGUGUCAUUAUCAUUGAUUCAAGAACGAGUAAUGCAGUUUUGUACUAGCAUCAAGAAGUCGCCGAAAAAUUUUCCGUAUUCAAACCUCUCAACUAAUAACCCAACAUACUCGGUUAAACCUUUUGUGAGAAAUUAUCAGCUGAGUCAUAAUGAGAAUCAAGUCUGUUCCAGUUCCAGAGAUUAGUCAGUUAAGAGAAAUCAUGAAGUAUGAACGUACUGCAAUAGAAUUAUGAUCUUCAGUUAGCUACCCUUUCACCUGAACUUUAAUUCAGCUAAAUUUAUCGAAUCGAUGCGAUGCAUGAUCCAUAAGCAAUAAACCUUAUUAAGUUAUGAACAUUAAGUUCCCCGAGCCUAUCUAAUCAUGAUAAGAGAUAAAUUAUUUUGGUGUUUGGAACCUAUCAAUUACAUUUAGUAUAAUAAUUCAAUUAAUUUGCGAACCUUUAUAAUUCCUUAAUAUCAGUGAAUUGGAUUCACGGAUAGAGUGUUAUCCUUAUGUAAAUCUGACGAAAUGUCUUAAGCUUUCCAACUUUGUUGUUAGUAAUCAGUUCGGAUUCAGGUAAGUUUGUUAAGAGUAAUGUGUUAUGUUCCUUUUAGAAUUAUCAGCUAUUCUAGUUGACCUGUAAGUUAACAUCCUGCAGUGGUCUAAAGUUGAGUGAACCUAUCUAGUAUGUCUUGUUAGCCUAUGAAAUUAAACAACAUCGUAAGACAUCUCGCACGUUUGAGACGUUAAUUCAACCAAUUCAGUUUAUCUUUCUUUUAAGGCCUUAUCAAAUUCGUUUCAGAUAAAAUCCAAAACCAUCCAGAGACAUAAGAAGUGAUAUUAAGAUUAGUAUUAAUGAUACAAACCCUUUAGUUCCAUUCGCAGUAACUAGGAUUAGACCAACGUAAGUUCACAAAUGAUUAGCCGAGGACAAUCAAUAAUCUUUUGAACUCUAUCAACUAUCCUUGUGACUGAUUAGUUAACAUCAUCAAGCAACUCAGAGUUUGGAAACUUAAUUAGUAGUAGUAUCACCAUCUGUAACCCAAGACAAUUGUGUUUGACCUUUCCUUAACAAUCAGUUUAUUUCAGUCCAGUCUCUACUGCAAAACCGCAUCCGACAAUUAUGUCAAAACCCAAACCUUACCUUGAUGGUGUUAAGAAAUUGUAUCAGAAGGGAUAGUAUUAAGAGAUGCCGAUGAGAUUAACAGAAUCAUAAGCUAUUUCACAAGGAAAUUUUUUGAAUAGUCGGUAUGAAAAUUCAAAACUUGAACCCUUAAGAUAACUUGUUCACAUCAGCCAGUGUCUUAUGUUUUGUGUGUACCCCAACCAGGCCAAAUACCGACCCAAUGAAAGUUUUUUUAAGUAAUAGAGUAAUUGGCAGGAGCAAUAAGGGAAGUAAAUACUAGAGAGGACUGAAUGUAGCUGAGGUCGGUGAAGUGAUAAGAAGUGAAGUGUUGCAGACACGUUAGAUGGCGGUAAAGUAUUAUGUAUAUGAUGGUGUGCCUAACGUCACUAAGCGAUGCAAGUGCUACUUGUGAUGUCUACGGUACGAGAAGUAUUAAUAGAAGAAAUAACAUCGGAUAAGAUGAGAUGAUGUGAAACAGUGUCUAAGAAGUUACAACUAAGAAUGUAAUGAUGUGUAUAGAGAAUGACAGUAAGUAGUCGAAUCAGAGUGCGUAGCCGGGGAGUGGUUGAGAAUGUAGUCGGCAGAUUGACUUGUAGGUCAACAACUCUUUGAGAGAGGAAAUCCCUAUUCGAAGGAAUUGAAAGUGGGGAACCAUAAAAUGAUUAAAGAUCGUAUAACGAGUAAGUUACGCAAAUAUUCAUGUUUGGACCUGAUAUUGUUAGUAUAGAAUACCCUUGAGAGCAAAGAUUGUGAAGGUAAAACGGUUCACUUGAGAAGUUUGACGCGGUGAACUAGUUAGAUUAAGUAUGCUCCGGCAUUGAAUUGAAAAGUGCAAAAGAAGGAAGGUUGCGCUGUGAGCGUUAAAGUUGAGGAAAAGUAACAGAGGCAGCUAAUAUAAGAUGAGUGUGUACCUAAAAGUUGCAUUAUGGGCUAAGAUUAUGAGUUCAACGUCAUGGAAUAAACGAGUAGAAUUUCCGAAAGUAUCAUAAGUGAACGCCAACGCAGUGAAGAAGUUCUUGAAUUUCGCGGACGAAAUUCUUUUAAGGGGGAUAGAUUGUAACAUCCCAACUUUAAUUAAUAGUAGAAUAUUAAUUAGAGAUAAUUAUUAGAGACUAAUUGGAAUAAGUGAGUAGAAGCUAUCACACACACCAUGAUUUGUGGUCUACAUGUUAUUAAACAAAUGCUAAGAAAGAAUCAAAGCGGGACCCACACUUUGAUUAUGAACCACAUGACCAAAGCCAUAUCUCUUCAAUUUCAUUUUUCAUUUGCUGAAAGAGCAGCCAGGAAACAAAGACUCCCUCACCCUCUCUCACGCCUCCCACCCUCAUCUCUACCUUUCCAUUUAUUCAACAAUCAAACAUGGAAGAUUCUUGCAUGCAAUCCACUCAUUAGUUUCUUGGGUCAAUUAGAGCAAGGAACAAAGUAUUGAUUAAAACCUCAAAGAUUCAGAGGUUUGAGUAAAAGGGGUCAAAUUGGAAGUUGAGAACUUAGUGGCAAAAAUAAGAAGUUCAUGGAGAUAGAGAAGUUGGGGAAAAGCUUGAAGCUUGGAGUUUCAACACUGAAUUCAUGCAGAAAGUGUUUGGGAUUGGGCUGCACUCAAACGAAUUGUGACCAGUAGGUAUUUUUGAAGUUGGAACUCUGAUGCUGGUAUUAUGCAGAAAAAUCUGCACACGAGUUUGGAGUAGUUUCGUUGCAAAUUUCGCUUUUCGACGAGUUUCGGAAAUGUCGGUGGUACUGUUCGAGCGUCGAUUUCAGCUUGUGCCAGCUUUGAAUUGCGCUUUGGAUUUCCCUGAAGUUUUGUUUCGCAUGAGGCAUGACGCAUGUGGUCUUUAGUAUGGAUAUUAUGGAGGAGCAGAUUGCUACAUGAUGAUUUUUGUUGCAAGAACAAGGUGACUUAUUCAAACAAAGUUGCUAAUAAAUAUGAAAAUAGCAGUCCAGCUCCAUAUGACUCUUGCUUCCAAUGUGAAAAAAGAAAUACAAAGAAUAGCAUGUCAACAUAUGCUGUGAAGUUUGUAUAUGCUAGGAGGAAUGAAUGAAAUCUCUAUCUGUUGGAAUAGGAUGCAUGUAUUUAAGUGGUUGAACAAGUAGUCUCCUUGGACUUGCGGUUCAAUUGUUACCACUCUUUUGUGAAUAAUAUCUGUGGAGAAUGGUGCUAUUUCUCUUUUGAUUGUGUGGCUAUAGUUUUUUAUUGGUAUUUUUGGGUUUGGUUCAGAUGAAAAUGUUAAUGGAGUCAUGUUAUUAAAGUUGUUUGAAGAGGAUGACAUUGUUGAAAAUGAAGUUGAUGCAGAGGAAAAUAGUGGGUGUUUUGUUUUUUUCAAGACUGUGGUGUUUAUGAGAUAUCGGUUUCAUGUCCUAUCUAUGGAAUUUAUAGCCAUUCUCUUGAGUGUAUUUGGUAGACA
This is a long non-coding RNA of Trifolium pratense (red clover), 6029 nucleotides long. RefSeq lists it as uncharacterized. The transcript is spliced from 8 exons. The record is from RefSeq and is a predicted model, not a curated record. Lineage: Eukaryota; Viridiplantae; Streptophyta; Magnoliopsida; Fabales; Fabaceae.